This 193-nucleotide ribosomal RNA is filed under the name uncultured bacterium. RNAcentral's name for it is "partial 16S ribosomal RNA". It matches the Rfam family "Bacterial small subunit ribosomal RNA", at positions 338 to 523 of the family's 1533-position model. The record is from RNAcentral.
CCUACGGGAGGCAGCAGUAGGGAAUCUUCCGCAAUGGACGAAAGUCUGACGGAGCAACGCCGCGUGAGUGAUGAAGGUUUUCGGAUCGUAAAACUCUGUUGUUAGGGAAGAACAAGUACCGGAGUAACUGCCGGUACCUUGACGGUACCUAACCAGAAAGCCACGGCUAACUACGUGCCAGCAGCCGCGGUAA